GACAGAGGUGCCAAGCGUUAGGCGGAAUCACUGGGCUUAAAGCGUGUGUAGGCGGAUCGUUAAGUACCUUGUGAAAUCCCACGGCUCAACCGUGGAACUGCUGGGUAUACUGGCGAUCUUGAGCCACCUAGGGGCGAGCGGAACAAGCGGUGGAGCGGUGAAAUGCGUAGAUAUCGCUUGGAACGCCAAUGGUGAAAACAGGUAGCUGGGGCUGUGCUGACACUGAGACACGAAAGCCAGGGGAGCGAACGGG
Molecule: ribosomal RNA, 253 nt
Filed under: uncultured bacterium
Lineage: Bacteria
Description: partial 16S ribosomal RNA
Rfam family: Bacterial small subunit ribosomal RNA
Source: RNAcentral